This 465-nucleotide ribosomal RNA is filed under the name Vreelandella stevensii. RNAcentral describes it as "partial 16S ribosomal RNA". It matches the Rfam family "Bacterial small subunit ribosomal RNA", at positions 338 to 795 of the family's 1533-position model. The record is from RNAcentral. Lineage: Bacteria; Pseudomonadati; Pseudomonadota; Gammaproteobacteria; Oceanospirillales; Halomonadaceae.
CCUACGGGCGGCUGCAGUGGGGAAUAUUGGACAAUGGGCGAAAGCCUGAUCCAGCCAUGCCGCGUGUGUGAAGAAGGCCUUCGGGCUGUAAAGCACUUUCAGUGGGGAAGAAAGCCUUGGGGCUAAUACCCUCGAGGAAGGACAUCACCCACAGAAGAAGCACCGGCUAACUCCGUGCCAGCAGCCGCGGUAAUACGGAGGGUGCGAGCGUUAAUCGGAAUUACUGGGCGUAAAGCGCGCGUAGGCGGUCUGAUAAGCCGGUUGUGAAAGCCCCGGGCUCAACCUGGGAACGGCAUCCGGAACUGUCAGGCUAGAGUGCAGGAGAGGAAGGUAGAAUUCCCGGUGUAGCGGUGAAAUGCGUAGAGAUCGGGAGGAAUACCAGUGGCGAAGGCGGCCUUCUGGACUGACACUGACGCUGAGGUGCGAAAGCGUGGGUAGCAAACAGGAUUAGAUACCCGUGUAGUC